This 872-nucleotide ribosomal RNA is filed under the name Typhula sp. RNAcentral's name for it is "LSU rRNA". It matches the Rfam family "Eukaryotic large subunit ribosomal RNA", at positions 57 to 909 of the family's 3401-position model. The record is from RNAcentral. Lineage: Eukaryota; Fungi; Basidiomycota; Agaricomycetes; Agaricales; Typhulaceae.
AAAAGAAACUAACAAGGAUUCCCCUAGUAACUGCGAGUGAAGCGGGAAAAGCUCAAAUUUAAAAUCUGGCGGUCCUCGCGGCCGUCCGAGUUGUAAUCUGGAGAAGUGUUUUCCGCGCUGGACCGUGUACAAGUCUCCUGGAACGGAGCGUCAUAGAGGGUGAGAAUCCCGUCUUUGACACGGACUACCAGUGCUUUUGUGAUACGCUCUCAACGAGUCGAGUUGUUUGGGAAUGCAGCUCAAAAUGGGUGGUAAAUUCCAUCUAAAGCUAAAUAUUGGCGAGAGACCGAUAGCGAACAAGUACCGUGAGGGAAAGAUGAAAAGAACUUUGGAAAGAGAGUUAAACAGUACGUGAAAUUGUUAAAAGGGAAACGCUUGAAGUCAGUCGCGUCGUCCGGGGAUCAACCUUGCAUUUAUGCUGGGCGUACUUUCCGGUUGACGGGUCAGCAUCAAUUUUGACCGUUGGAUAAAGUUCAGGGGAAUGUGGCAUCCUCGGAUGUGUUAUAGCCCUUGUUCGCAUACAACGAUUGGGAUUGAGGAACUCAGCACGCCUUUAUGGUCGGGGUUUACCCACGUAACGUGCUUAGGAUGCUGGCAUAAUGGCUUUAAUCGACCCGUCUUGAAACACGGACCAAGGAGUCUAACAUGCCCGCGAGUGUUUGGGUGGAAAACCCGAGCGCGUAAUGAAAGUGAAAGUUGAGAUCCCUGUCGUGGGGAGCAUCGACGCCCGGACCAGACGUUCUCUGACGGUUCCGCGGUAGAGCGUGUAUGUUGGGACCCGAAAGAUGGUGAACUAUGCCUGAAUAGGGUGAAGCCAGAGGAAACUCUGGUGGAGGCUCGUAGCGAUUCUGACGUGCAAAUCGAUCGUCGAA